GCUGCCCUAUUCUGCCUUUCUAUUAGUAACACAGACUAUGACAUCAGCUGCGGGUCAACCUCUACAACUCGGCCAUUCUAGUGGAUGGAGUCGUGUUUCAUACAGCAUUAAUUUACAUGAUCUGACUGUCUGCUAAGGCACAACUGACCACUUCCAUCAUGAAAACAAACUGUACCCGGCCAUCUAAAGUUCUCGAUUAAAAAGCGACUGUUUUUGUGAGCCCAGAGAAAACGGCCGCAGCUGCUCCAUUUCACGAGGCGGGCACCUCUACUCCAUUCAGCUGUGAAGAAUGGCAAUGACUGUAAAUUGUUCUUCCUGAUCGGUUCCACAAUAAAAACAAACCACACUACUUUCAA
Long non-coding RNA from Peromyscus eremicus (cactus mouse), 356 nucleotides. RefSeq lists it as uncharacterized. The record is from RefSeq and is a predicted model, not a curated record. The transcript has 2 exons. Lineage: Eukaryota; Metazoa; Chordata; Mammalia; Rodentia; Cricetidae.